Molecule: small nucleolar RNA, 111 nt
Organism: Arvicola amphibius (Eurasian water vole)
Lineage: Eukaryota; Metazoa; Chordata; Mammalia; Rodentia; Cricetidae
Product: small nucleolar RNA SNORD67
Exons: 1
Source: RefSeq, a predicted model, not a curated record
UGUGAGAGUGAUGAGGUGCACAUUGGUGGAGCUAUAGUAUCAGGUGAUACAGGCACCACUCAGUACCACACUGGUGACAAAAUCAAGUGCACAGGGGCCAUCUGACUCACA